This 991-nucleotide long non-coding RNA is filed under the name Homo sapiens (human). RNAcentral's name for it is "non-protein coding lnc-CCDC187-1:31". Lineage: Eukaryota; Metazoa; Chordata; Mammalia; Primates; Hominidae. The record is from RNAcentral.
GCGGUCUAGAAGCUAGGCGGUGACGCGGCCCACCCUACUGGAGCCCCGCGAGGCCCGGAAGCACCGAACCCAGAGCUUUAGGGGCCUUGGGCCGCUUCAAGCUGCAGAUGCUGGAGCGGAGCCUGCGGGAGGAGGAGCUGCGAGCACAGCACCAGGCCGCGCUGCUGCGCCUGCGAGAGAUGGCGCUCCAGGAGAAAACGCUCGCGGAGCUGGCCUGGCUGGAGCAUCGACGAGGGUGCCUGGACAGCAAGAGGGACAGAGCUGUGCUGGCCGCGCUGGUUGAGAAGCAGCAGCAAGCCCUCAGCAGAUUGGAGAAGGAGCAGAGGGAAAUCCAAUACCUGAGACACACGCAGCUGUUCAGGCACCGGGACAGGAAGCUGCUUCUGCAGCAUCAGAGGGACGUCGUCUCCAUGCCGGGGCCUGUGGACAUCCUCCCCAUCCCGGGGCCCACGGACGUCGUCCCAGCGCACGAGCUGCAGGCCCAGGCCAAGCUGCAGCAGGGUUCCAGCCCCAAAGUCAAGGCCGCCUGGGAGGGAGGCUCAGAGACAAGCCAGCAGCCAGAGGCCUCCCUGUGUCCCCUGACCCCAUGCAGGCCCAGCAGCUCCACCAGCCAUCGCCCCCAGAGCAGCCCCGCAAGCUCAAAGGCCACGCGCCCUCCCACUGAGCAGCAGGAUGUGACGCCACCCCAGACAACCUCCGAUGCAGAUGGUCACCAGCAGCCUCCGAGGCCAGCAUGGGGCGAGGACACACACGACCCCCAGGGCCCGCUGGUGGAGAGUGGCAGCCAUGUCAGUCAAGAGCCUGGGGAGCAGCCUCGGGCCCCUCUGCUGGGCCUGCAGCACGUGAGCCCCCCGGACGGACAGCGGCUGGGCCCAGCCUUUCCCGCCGAGGAGGCGGAGGGGCGCCUCCCCACAGCUCAGUGCAGGUCUCGGGAGGUGAAGGAGCCACCCCCAGGUAAGCACCCUGGAAACACCGCGUGGGCCUCCACGGC